GAUGAAGAACGUAGUGAAAUGCGAUAAGUAGUGUGAAUUGCAGAAUUCAGUGAAUCAUCGAAUCUUUGAACGCACAUUGCACCCCUUGGUAUUCCAUGGGGCAUGCCUGUUCGAGCGUCAUUUGUACCUUCAAGCUCUGCUUGGUGUUGGGUGUUUGUCUCGCCUCUGCGUGUAGACUCGCCUCAAAACAAUUGGCAGCCGGCGUAUUGAUUUCGGAGCGCAGUACAUCUCGCGCUUUGCACUCAUAACGACGACGUCCAAAAGUACAUUUUUACACUCUUGACCUCGGAUCAGGUAGGGAUACCCGCUGAACUUAAGCAUAUCAAUAAGCGGAGGA
Molecule: unclassified non-coding RNA, 337 nt
Filed under: soil metagenome
Description: partial contains 5.8S ribosomal RNA, internal transcribed spacer 2, and large subunit ribosomal RNA
Rfam family: 5.8S ribosomal RNA (bases 1-120)
Source: RNAcentral